UACGUAGGGUGCAGGCGUUAAUCGGAAUUACUGGGCGUAAAGCGUGCGCAGGCGGCUUCCUAAGUCAGAUGUGAAAUCCCCGGGCUCAACCUGGGAACUGUGUUUGAAACUGGGAGGCUAGAGUGCGGCAGAGGGGGGUGGAAUUCCACGUGUAGCAGUGAAAUGCGUAGAUAUGUGGAGGAACACCGAUGGCGAAGGCAGCCCCCUGGGCCAGCACUGACGCUCAUGCACGAAAGCGUGGGGAGCAAACAGG
RNAcentral lists this ribosomal RNA (253 nucleotides) under uncultured bacterium. RNAcentral describes it as "partial 16S ribosomal RNA". It matches the Rfam family "Bacterial small subunit ribosomal RNA", at positions 524 to 776 of the family's 1533-position model. The record is from RNAcentral.